This 253-nucleotide ribosomal RNA is filed under the name uncultured bacterium. Its description in RNAcentral is "partial 16S ribosomal RNA". It matches the Rfam family "Bacterial small subunit ribosomal RNA", at positions 524 to 776 of the family's 1533-position model. The record is from RNAcentral.
UACGAAGGGGGCUAGCGUUGCUCGGAAUGACUGGGCGUAAAGGGCGCGUAGGCGGUUUGUACAGUCAGGUGUGAAAUUCCCGGGCUCAACCUGGGGGCUGCACUUGAUACGUAUGGACUUGAGUGAGGAAGAGGGUCGUGGAAUUCCCAGUGUAGAGGUGAAAUGCGUAGAUAUUGGGAGGAACACCAGUGGCGAAGGCGGCUCACUGGACCGGUACUGACGCUGAGGCGCGAAAGCGUGGGGAGCAAACGGG